GAUGAACGCUGGCGGCGUGCCUAACACAUGCAAGUCGAACGAAGCACCUUACCUGAUUCUUCGGAUGAAAGUUUGGUGACUGAGUGGCGGACGGGUGAGUAACGCGUGGGUAACCUGCCCUGUACAGGGGGAUAACAGCUGGAAACGGCUGCUAAUACCGCAUAAGCGCACGAGGAGACAUCUCCUUGUGUGAAAAACUCCGGUGGUACAGGAUGGGCCCGCGUCUGAUUAGCUGGUUGGCAGGGUAACGGCCUACCAAGGCAACGAUCAGUAGCCGGUCUGAGAGGAUGACCGGCCACAUUGGAACUGAGACACGGUCCAAACUCCUACGGGAGGCAGCAGUGGGGAAUAUUGCACAAUGGGGGAAACCCUGAUGCAGCAACGCCGCGUGAGUGAAGAAGUAUUUCGGUAUGUAAAGCUCUAUCAGCAGGGAAGAUAAUGACGGUACCUGACUAAGAAGCUCCGGCUAAAUACGUG
RNAcentral lists this ribosomal RNA (477 nucleotides) under uncultured bacterium. RNAcentral describes it as "partial 16S ribosomal RNA". It matches the Rfam family "Bacterial small subunit ribosomal RNA", at positions 28 to 507 of the family's 1533-position model. The record is from RNAcentral.